Oryza sativa Japonica Group (Japanese rice) is the source of this 47-nucleotide non-coding RNA. Lineage: Eukaryota; Viridiplantae; Streptophyta; Magnoliopsida; Poales; Poaceae. The record is from Rfam.
UGAGAGGCUCCCUUAGGAGCCACCACUCUUAAGGAUAACAAAUAUGU